GAUGGAGCAUUUUUGUAGAAUCAGCAGGAGACAGAUAGCCGUUGUGCGAAUCUGUAGCACUGAAGGAAUCACUUGUGCGCGCGCCAUCGAAAUGAACGGUUGUUUCUAUAUCAUCUCAUCCGCAGCAAAAGUAUUGCCAUCAGACACUAGCGAAGCCGGUAGGCUAGACUGGACAAGUCAAAUCAUAAAGCAGCAUACUGUGUAAAAGUAUUUGACGAUGUAACGAAUGUUUUGAUUUACAGUUUCAUAACGUGCGAUUAGUACAGUAGCGUGUUUCAAUAUAUUCCUUAUCGACAUCGGUGCGCAAAUGUUGUCUCGUUUAAAAAAAUGUGAAAUUGGCAUUAAGCAUAAAAUCUAACAACAUUGUAUUCRUUAAUAACUACACAAAUCAGUAAAAAAAUCUUAUACAGUGAUCUUAUAAAAUAUGGCUUAACAUUUCGUUAGACGUUGGCAAUUCUUUGCUAAACUUUGCUACUGUAUGCAUAAAAGUGAGUCAAUACAUAGCGAAGACAAUUCGAAAUAUACAAUUUUGAGACAAAAUACAAGAAACCGUGGUCAACCUACAACCAUAAGCCAAGUUUAUCAUAAUACAUCGAGGUGAAAGAGUACUAUCUCCAUUUGCUGUUUUCAAAGAGAGAAAAAAGAGAGUCAACGAGAGCACAACCGACCAAAUUUUUUUGAAGCAGCUGGUGCGGUUUCAGAGAUA
Bactrocera latifrons is the source of this 706-nucleotide long non-coding RNA. RefSeq lists it as uncharacterized. Lineage: Eukaryota; Metazoa; Arthropoda; Insecta; Diptera; Tephritidae. The transcript is spliced from 3 exons. The record is from RefSeq and is a predicted model, not a curated record.